UUAAGUGAAGAAGGGCGCACGGUGAAUGCCUUGGCACCAGGAGCCGAAGAAGGACGGGACUAACACCGAUAUGCCCCGGGGAGUCGUAAGUAGACUGAGAUCCGGGGAUUUCCGAAUGGGGCAACCCGCUGUCCGUAAUGGGGCAGCGCCUGUGUCUGAAUCAAUAGGGCACAAGCGGCAGACCCGGGGAACUGAAACAUCUCAGUACCCGGUGGAAAAGAAAGCAAAUGCGAUUUCCCGAGUAGCGGCGAGCGAAACGGAAGCAGCCCAAACCGGAAAGCUGAGCUUUCCGGGGUUGGAGGACACUCCAUUGGAGUUAUCAAGAAACGUCUUAGACGAAUCGAUCUGGAAUGAUCAGCCACAGAAGGUAAGAGCCCUGUAGUCGAAAAGAGGUUUCCUCCGGAGUGGAUCCUGAGUACGGCGGAACACGAGGAAUUCCGUCGGAAUCCGGGAGGACCAUCUCCCAAGGCUAAAUACUCCCUGGUGACCGAUAGUGAACCAGUACCGUGAGGGAAAGGUGAAAAGCACCCCGGAAGGGGAGUGAAAGAGAACCUGAAACCGUGUGCCUACAAGUAGUCGGAGCCCGUUAAUGGGUGACGGCGUACCUUUUGUAGAAUGGACCGGCGAGUUGCGAUCAUAUGCAAGGUUAAGUGGCAGACACGGAGCCGCAGCGAAAGCGAGUCUGAAGAGGGCGUUAAGAGUAUAUGGUCGCAGACCCGAAACCGUGUGAUCUACCCAUGUCCAGGGUGAAGGUCAGGUAACACUGACUGGAGGCCCGAACCCACGUAUGCUGAAAAAUGCGGGGAUGAGGUGUGGGUAGGGGUGAAAUGCCAAUCGAACACGGAGAUAGCUGGUUCUCUCCGAAAUAGCUUUAGGGCUAGCCUCAAGGUAUGCGUGCUGGAGGUAGAGCACUGAUUGGACUAGGGGCCCUCACCGGGUUACCGAAUUCAGUCAAACUCCGAAUGCCAGAGAUGCAAGCCUUGGGAGUCAGACUAUGGGUGAUAAGGUUCAUAGUCGAAAGGGAAACAGCCCAGACCGCCAGCUAAGGUCCCUAAGUAUACGUUAAGUGGAAAAGGAUGUGGAGUUGCCCAGACAACCAGUAUGUUGGCUUAGAAGCAGCCAUCAUUUAAAGAGUGCGUAAUAGCUCACUGGUCGAGUGACUCUGCGCCGAAAAUGUACCGGGGCUAAACGUAUCACCGAAGCUGCGGAUUGUUCUGACGAACAAUGGUAGGAGAGCGUUCCAAAUGCAGCGAAGUCAGACCGUGAGGACUGGUGGAGCGUUUGGAAGUGAGAAUGCCGGUAUAAGUAGCGAGAAAAGAGUGAGAAUCUCUUUCACCGAAAGCCUAAGGUUUCCUGAGGAAGGCUCGUCCGCUCAGGGUUAGUCGGGACCUAAGCCGAGGCCGAAAGGCGUAGGCGAUGGCCAACAGGCAGAUAUUCCUGUACCACCUCGUGAGCGUUUGAACGAUGGGGGGACGCAGCAGGAUAAGGAAAGCGCACUGUCGGAUAGGUGCGCCCAAGCAGUGAGGAAGUCGGACAGGCAAAUCCGUCCGAUGAUUUCUGAGCUGUGACGGGGAGGGAAAAUGAGUACCGAAGUUCCUGAUUCCACACUGCCAAGAAAAGCCUCUAGUGAGUUCACAGGUGCCCGUACCGCAAACCGACACAGGCAGGCAAGGAGAGAAUCCUAAGGUGAUCGGGAGAACUCUCGUUAAGGAACUCGGCAAAAUGACCCCGUAACCUCGGGAGAAGGGGUGCUCAGACCGAGUCUGAGCCGCAGUGAAUAGGCCCAAGCGACUGUUUAGCAAAAACACAGGUCUCUGCGAAGCCGAAAGGCGAAGUAUAGGGGCUGACACCUGCCCGGUGCUGGAAGGUUAAGGGGAAGCGUUAGCGCCUUCGGGCGCGAAGCGGCGAACCGAAGCCCCAGUAAACGGCGGCCGUAACUAUAACGGUCCUAAGGUAGCGAAAUUCCUUGUCGGGUAAGUUCCGACCCGCACGAAAGGUGCAACGACUUGGGCACUGUCUCAACGAGAGACCCGGUGAAAUUAUACUAUGCGUGAAGAUGCGCAUUACCCGCGACAGGACGGAAAGACCCCGUGGAGCUUUACUGUAGCCUGAUAUUGAAUGUUGGUACAGCUUGUACAGGAUAGGUGGGAGCCGUGGAAACGUGAGCGCCAGCUUACGUGGAGGCAUCCGUGGGAUACCACCCUGGCUGUACGGACAUUCUAACCCAGGACCGUUAGCCGGUCCGGAGACAGUGUCAGGUGGGCAGUUUGACUGGGGCGGUCGCCUCCCAAAAGGUAACGGAGGCGCCCAAAGGUUCCCUCAGAAUGGUUGGAAAUCAUUCGCAGAGUGCAAAGGCAGAAGGGAGCUUGACUGCGAGACUCACAAGUCGAGCAGGGACGAAAGUCGGGCUUAGUGAUCCGGUGGUUCCGCAUGGAAGGGCCAUCGCUCAACGGAUAAAAGCUACCCCGGGGAUAACAGGCUUAUCUCCCCCAAGAGUUCACAUCGACGGGGAGGUUUGGCACCUCGAUGUCGGCUCAUCGCAUCCUGGGGCUGUAGUCGGUCCCAAGGGUUGGGCUGUUCGCCCAUUAAAGCGGUACGCGAGCUGGGUUCAGAACGUCGUGAGACAGUUCGGUCCCUAUCCGUCGUGGGCAUUGGAAGUCUGAGAGGAGCUGUCCUUAGUACGAGAGGACCGGGAUGGACACACCGCUGGUGUACCAGUUGUUCCGCCAGGAGCACAGCUGGGUAGCUACGUGUGGUCAGGAUAAGUGCUGAAAGCAUCUAAGCAUGAAGCCCCCCUCAAGAUGAAACUUCCCAUCAUGUCAAGUGAGUAAGAUCCCUCAGAGACGAUGAGGUAGAUAGGUCCGAGGUGGAAGCGUGGUGACACGUGGAGCUGACGGAUACUAAUCGAUCGAGGACUUAACUAA
Molecule: ribosomal RNA, 2924 nt
Filed under: Lentibacillus jeotgali
Lineage: Bacteria; Bacillati; Bacillota; Bacilli; Caryophanales; Bacillaceae
Description: bacterial LSU rRNA
Rfam family: Bacterial large subunit ribosomal RNA
Source: RNAcentral